This 264-nucleotide ribosomal RNA is filed under the name uncultured bacterium. RNAcentral describes it as "partial 16S ribosomal RNA". It matches the Rfam family "Bacterial small subunit ribosomal RNA", at positions 333 to 613 of the family's 1533-position model. The record is from RNAcentral.
UUGGUCCUACGGGACGCAGCAGUGGGGAGUAUUGCACAAUGGGGGAAACCCUGAUGCAGCGACGCUGCGUGAGUGAAGAAGUAUUUCGGUAUGUAAAGCUCUAUCAGCAGGGAAGAAAAAAGACGGUACCUGACUAAGAAGCCCCGGCUAACUACGUGCCAGCAGCCGCGGUAAUACGUAGGGGGCAAGCGUUAUCCGGAUUUACUGGGUGUAAAGGGAGCGUAGACGGAGAAGCAAGUCUGAAGUGAAAGCCCGUGGCUUAAC